Long non-coding RNA from Mytilus californianus (California mussel), 1137 nucleotides. RefSeq lists it as uncharacterized. Lineage: Eukaryota; Metazoa; Mollusca; Bivalvia; Mytilida; Mytilidae. The record is from RefSeq and is a predicted model, not a curated record. The transcript has 2 exons.
UGUUAAAAGUUUUGCAUAAAGAAUUAUUCAACGUUAAGUGAAUAUUUUGAUUUCAUGUAAAUGUGCAUGAAGACUUCAUGUACUGUAAUGUUUUCAUUAAAACCUGGUGUAGGUAGCGAUACCGAAUUUGAUUAACAGAAAAAACGAAUGAUAUUGAAAAAUUGAUACAUGGAAGUAAUUUCCAAUUACAUGUAUGUAUUAUAGUUCUUCUCGUGGUUAUAUUAUAUGGAGUCAAAUUCAAGAUUCCGGAAAUGAAAGUAAACGAUUCCGAAAUAGAUAGAGGUGAACUAGAAUUUGUUUACAUGUACAAUACAACACCUAUUAGCACGCAACUGUUCAAUGAAGGGUGGUUGGACGAUAAUACUUUUGUUGUACGUCACAUUAUGUCAUACAAUUGAUAAUUAUCCGUAUUUAUUACAUAUGAUAUAACUUGUCAAUCAAUGAUAAUUAAUAAGUAUUAAACAAAACUACAUGUACAACAAACUAUAGAAGGAUACACAUCGGAAUACACCAAAGUCUGGAAUGUCUGUGUUGAAAUAUUCUGUUGUUUGUGCAAUCAUAUUUGUUCUUGGAUUUGAGUUAACUAUGGCUGCGUUUAUUCCAGACAAGGAUUUUCUUCAAAUGCAAGAUCAUCAUAUGUCAAACUACAAGAAUAUAUUCGAACAAUAUACCAGACUUGCUGACGGACCAGACAACAAUGUAUUAAGAGUAUAUGUUCGUCCCAAUACUGAUUUCCCGAAUACUCAGAUAGUAUACAGGAACGAGCGGAACGGUAGACUGAACUCUGAAUCAUUUGGAGAUCAGAGGUUACCGAGAAAUAGAUGGCCUUCACAUGAUGAUACUGACAGUUUAAUAAAAAAUCAUGAUCAUAAUAUUAUCAAGAAAAAGAAAGGAACAGAGCGUAGAGAAAAUACAAUUCAAACAUUCGUUUCGGAAAUGGAAAAGAAUUUCAAGAAAAGUUCUAAGUCAAUUUUUUCCAGGGCUAAGGACUUAUUUUCUGAUCAAACUACUGAAAAACGUGUAUACGGAAUCAAAGAUUUUGUGUAUGACUUUUUAAAGAUUGUUUCAUAUUAAUCUGUUAUUUCAGAUGUAUAUGUAAUUUAUUUAUAGUUUUAAAUAAAAUUAUAAUACUUAAAA